This 470-nucleotide long non-coding RNA is filed under the name Homo sapiens (human). RNAcentral's name for it is "uncharacterized LOC105376892, transcript variant 3 (LOC105376892)". Lineage: Eukaryota; Metazoa; Chordata; Mammalia; Primates; Hominidae. The record is from RNAcentral.
ACCUCUUUCAGGAAGCCCUCAAGAACCCCCCAGGAGCUGUGUGUGUCUGUGUGUCUGUCUACCUGGCAAGGAGAUAUGGCCCCCAUCAGACUGGAGCUCCACAGAGCAGGUCAAGCGAUUCUCCUGCCUCGGCCUCCCAAGGAACUGGAACCACAGGCGCGCGCCACUGCGCCCAAGGAUUUUCACUUUUAACUGUACAGUGAAGCACAGACUUCUGAGCCAGACUGCUUGGUCUGAACUCUGGUGUCACCACUUAGUAAGUUCUGGUUUGAAUGUACUCACUGAGUGGUCUUCAUAAAUUACCUCUCUGCACUUGAGUCUCCUGUCUGUAAAAUGGGGAUAAUAAUCAUUACAACGAAGCCUCAUAGGAUUCUGGUGGAGACCAAAUGCAUUAAUACAUAUGCAAAGCAUUUGGAACAGCUGGCAUAUAUAAGUGCCAUAUAUCUAUUAUUAAAAAUUUUUAAAUUAUA